AACGCGAAGAACCUUACCAGGUCUUGACAUCCCUUUGAAAGCGAUAGAGAUAGCGCGCUCCCUUCGGGGACAGAGGAGACAGGUGGUGCAUGGUUGUCGUCAGCUCGUGUCGUGAGAUGUUGGGUUAAGUCCCGCAACGAGCGCAACCCUUGAUGCUAGUUGCCAGCACGUGAAGGUGGGCACUCUAGGAUGACUGCCGGUGAUAAACCGGAGGAAGGUGGGGAUGACGUCAAAUCAUCAUGCCCCUUAUGACCUGGGCUACACACGUACUACAAUGGUCGGUACAACGGGAAGCAAAGAUGCGAAUCGGAGCGAAUCCUUAAAAGCCGAUCUCAGUUCGGAUUGCAGGCUGCAACUCGCCUGCAUGAAGUCGGAAUUGCUAGUAAUCGCGGAUCAGCAUGCCGCGGUGAAUACGUUCCCGGGCCUUGUA
RNAcentral lists this ribosomal RNA (430 nucleotides) under uncultured Bacillota bacterium. RNAcentral's name for it is "bacterial SSU rRNA". It matches the Rfam family "Bacterial small subunit ribosomal RNA", at positions 958 to 1385 of the family's 1533-position model. Lineage: Bacteria; Bacillati; Bacillota. The record is from RNAcentral.